Molecule: unclassified non-coding RNA, 200 nt
Filed under: soil metagenome
Description: partial contains internal transcribed spacer 2 and large subunit ribosomal RNA
Source: RNAcentral
CUGUUCGAGCGUCAUUAUAACCACUCAAGCCCCGGCUUGGUCUUGGGGUUCGCGGUCUCGCGGCCCUUAAAAUCAGUGGCGGUGCGUCUGGCUCUAAGCGUAGUAAUUCUCUCGCUAUAGGGUCCCGGCGGUUACCUGCCAGAACCCCCCCAUUUUUUACGGUUGACCUCGGAUCAGGUAGGGAUACCCGCUGAACUUAA